UGGGGAAUUUUGGACAAUGGGGGCAACCCUGAUCCAGCAAUGCCGCGUGUGUGAAGAAGGCCUUCGGGUUGUAAAGCACUUUUGUCCGGAAAGAAAACGUCGUGGUUAAUACCCGCGGCGGCUGACGGUACCGGAAGAAUAAGCACCGGCUAACUACGUGCCAGCAGCCGCGGUAAUACGUAGGGUGCAAGCGUUAAUCGGAAUUACUGGGCGUAAAGCGUGCGCAGGCGGUCCGCUAAGACAGAUGUGAAAUCCCCGGGCUUAACCUGGGAACUGCAUUUGUGACUGGCGGGCUAGAGUAUGGCAGAGGGGGGUAGAAUUCCACGUGUAGCAGUGAAAUGCGUAGAGAUGUGGAGGAAUACCGAUGGCGAAGGCAGCCCCCUGGGCCAAUACUGACGCUCAUGCACGAAAGCGUGGGGAGCAAACAGGAUUAGAUACCCUGGUAGUCCACGCCCUAAACGAUGUCAACUAGUUGUCGGGUCUUCAUUGACUUGGUAACGUAGCUAACGCGUGAAGUUGACCGCCUGGGGAGUACGGUCGCAAGAUUAAAAACUCAAAUGAAUUGACGGGGUCAUAGCUGUUUCCUG
RNAcentral lists this ribosomal RNA (587 nucleotides) under uncultured bacterium. Its description in RNAcentral is "partial 16S ribosomal RNA". It matches the Rfam family "Bacterial small subunit ribosomal RNA", at positions 355 to 1376 of the family's 1533-position model. The record is from RNAcentral.